Molecule: ribosomal RNA, 1020 nt
Filed under: Triticum aestivum (bread wheat)
Lineage: Eukaryota; Viridiplantae; Streptophyta; Magnoliopsida; Poales; Poaceae
Description: partial small subunit ribosomal RNA
Source: RNAcentral
AUGUCAUUUUGUGAUAUGCCAACUCCACUAAUAAUCCAGACUCCUGGUUCCAAAUGGCAAACCUCCAAGGUAAGCCAUGGUAAUGAAAUCCUUGUUGACAGACUAGUAUUCCUUGCUUCUUUGAUAUCUCUCAAGUCUUCAGAUAUUAACAUCAUCUUGGGCAUGGAUUGGAUGUCAGCUCAUCAUGCCAAGAUCGAUUGUUACACUAGAUCUAUUCAACUUACACAUCCAUCUGGCAAAAUAGUCACUGUCUCCACUAGAGUUGCAAGGCGUCAACUCUAUUCUCUUAAUGCCAGCCCUCUUCCAGACCUUGAAGAUAUUCUAGUAGUCCGUGACUUCCUGGAUGUCUUUCUAGAAGAACUGCCAGGUGUUCCACCUGACAAAGAUGUAGAGUUUGUCAUAGAACUUAUCCAAAGAACUGUUCCAAUCUCUAGGAGACCAUACAAGAUGGCACCUUUGGAGCUAGCCGAGCUUAAGAAAAAACUUGAUGAGUCCUUGGAAAAGGGUUUCAUCCGUCCCAGUUCUUCUCCUUGGGCUUGUCCUAUCCUCUUCGUCAAGAAAAAGGAUGGUACGGAUCGGAUGGUUGUAGAUUAUCGUCCCGUUAAUGUGGUCACGAUAAAGAACAAGUAUCCGCUCCCCAGGAUCAACGACCUGCAUGAUCAGCUCGCUGGAUCCUCAGUCUUUUCCAAGAUGGAUUUGAGGUUAGGCUACCACCAAAUCAAAAUCAGAAACGGGGACAUCCCCAAAACGGCCUUUGUCACUCGUUAUGGUCAAUACGAGUACACCGUAAUGUCUUUCGGCCUAACCAAUGCUCCAGCUACUUUCUCCUGCUUGAUGAACUCGAUCUUUAUGGAGUACUUAGAUAAGUUCGUCGUGGUUUAUCUCGAUGACAUUCUUAUUUACUCGAAGAACAAGGAAGAGCAUGCCACACAUCUUAGACUUGUGUUAGAAAAACUCAGAGAGCACCGCCUUUAUGCCAAGUUCUCCAAGUGUGAAUUUUGGUUGCCAGAGGUGACCUAA